UUACAAUCUGCCAUUAAAACUUAACUUCGUGUUUGGAAGCUGUAGGGAGGGCAAUGACGGUGGAAAUAUAGGAAGUAUGAAGAGUGACAACUAGCCCUGUUCUCCACUGAUCCCUAACAACAAGCAGCAGACCAGUCAGAGGGCACAUGAGAUGAAAACUGCAGCCUCCUAAAGAAGCACAGAGAUCUUUCUACAUUUUGAGGCCAAAACCUCAACUUUUAUCUGGGGGACAAACAAUGCAAGAAAAUGCCUGCAGCGGAGAAAGUCAACUGGAGAGUGUGUCGGAUUGCUCAACUGAGUCCCCAGACUCCUGUCCACUGUCCUGCAUGGAGCCCUUUGCGGUGCGCAGGCUUUCGUGCAGGACUGUCCAGCUUCCCCCUUUGGCCUUUAGGCAGGCUGAGCAGUAUUACUGUGAGAGGAGACCAGAGACGGAGACGGUCCAGCCUCGACCCACCAGCCUCCCCCUGAGAGUUCCUCCGCUCAUCGCCAUCACCUCUGCAGACACAAGCAGGUAACAGCUGGAGUUUCAUGAUGUUGUUUAUGCCAAAAAACAUUUUAAAUGUUUAUAUCUUGAAAAAAAAAAGUGUGCAGAAACAAUUAUGGUGAAUUUUUAGUUUUAUGGAGAAAACUUCUACUUCAUAGUAAAGCACAAUUGUUUUAU
Molecule: non-coding RNA, 661 nt
Organism: Danio rerio (zebrafish)
Lineage: Eukaryota; Metazoa; Chordata; Actinopteri; Cypriniformes; Danionidae
Source: Ensembl